AAUGAACGUUGGCGGCGUGGAUUAGGCAUGCAAGUCGAGCGCCCCGCAAGGGGAGCGGCGCAAGGGUGAGUAAGGCGACGGUAACCAACCCCACGAAUGGGAAUAGCCGCGGGAAACUGCGGGUAAUGCCCAGCGACGUCGGUAGGGGGCAUCCCCAUCCGACCAAAGCUCCGGCGUCGUGGGACGGGCCGUCGUGGUAUUAGCUGGUUGGCGGGGUGACGGCCCACCAAGGCUGCGAUGCCUACCGGGCGUGCGAGCGUGGCCCGGCACACUGGGACUGAGACACUGCCCAGACUCCUACGGGAGGCUGCAGUCGAGAAUCUUCGGCAAUGGGCGCAAGCCUGACCGAGCGACGCCGCGU
This 361-nucleotide ribosomal RNA is filed under the name uncultured bacterium. RNAcentral describes it as "bacterial SSU rRNA". It matches the Rfam family "Bacterial small subunit ribosomal RNA", at positions 28 to 402 of the family's 1533-position model. The record is from RNAcentral.